Portunus trituberculatus (swimming crab) is the source of this 364-nucleotide long non-coding RNA. RefSeq lists it as uncharacterized. The transcript is spliced from 3 exons. The record is from RefSeq and is a predicted model, not a curated record. NCBI's taxonomy places the organism in Eukaryota, Metazoa, Arthropoda, Malacostraca, Decapoda, Portunidae.
GUUCAGUCGCGUCCCAGACGUCUAGAGAGAAGGUUGUGUGUCUCUCACUCAUUGCUUCAAUUUUGUCACGGUGAACUAUACACAAUGCAGUGGGAUCAUUCAAAAGGAUGUGCAGUGCGCUGACAUUGACCAAAUGGACUGCCGCCUGGACUUCACCGUGGACUGUGUCAACUUUGCUGGACUUGAAGAUUAUGUGCGUGAGGUGAAGAGGGAAGGACUUCAUCAUCAUCCUGGACCCGGCCAUCAACGCUGAGAUGGGUGAGGAGUACCUGGUGCACAAGAGAGUGAGGGACAAGGACAUGUAUAUCACCUGGCCGCCUCACCUGGUGCCCCAACACAAUUUUGGUGCUGGGGACGUCAUGCU